RNAcentral lists this ribosomal RNA (789 nucleotides) under Streptomyces sp. Its description in RNAcentral is "bacterial SSU rRNA". It matches the Rfam family "Bacterial small subunit ribosomal RNA", at positions 89 to 890 of the family's 1533-position model. The record is from RNAcentral. Lineage: Bacteria; Bacillati; Actinomycetota; Actinomycetes; Kitasatosporales; Streptomycetaceae.
GGAUUAGUGGCGAACGGGUGAGUAACACGUGGGCAAUCUGCCCUUCACUCUGGGACAAGCCCUGGAAACGGGGUCUAAUACCGGAUAACACUCUGUCCCGCAUGGGACGGGGUUAAAAGCUCCGGCGGUGAAGGAUGAGCCCGCGGCCUAUCAGCUUGUUGGUGGGGUAAUGGCCUACCAAGGCGACGACGGGUAGCCGGCCUGAGAGGGCGACCGGCCACACUGGGACUGAGACACGGCCCAGACUCCUACGGGAGGCAGCAGUGGGGAAUAUUGCACAAUGGGCGAAAGCCUGAUGCAGCGACGCCGCGUGAGGGAUGACGGCCUUCGGGUUGUAAACCUCUUUCAGCAGGGAAGAAGCGAAAGUGACGGUACCUGCAGAAGAAGCGCCGGCUAACUACGUGCCAGCAGCCGCGGUAAUACGUAGGGCGCAAGCGUUGUCCGGAAUUAUUGGGCGUAAAGAGCUCGUAGGCGGCUUGUCACGUCGGAUGUGAAAGCCCGGGGCUUAACCCCGGGUCUGCAUUCGAUACGGGCUAGCUAGAGUGUGGUAGGGGAGAUCGGAAUUCCUGGUGUAGCGGUGAAAUGCGCAGAUAUCAGGAGGAACACCGGUGGCGAAGGCGGAUCUCUGGGCCAUUACUGACGCUGAGGAGCGAAAGCGUGGGGAGCGAACAGGAUUAGAUACCCUGGUAGUCCACGCCGUAAACGUUGGGAACUAGGUGUUGGCGACAUUCCACGUCGUCGGUGCCGCAGCUAACGCAUUAAGUUCCCCGCCUGGGGAGUACGGCCGCA